UGCCCCGUAGUGUAACGGCAGCACGACAGCCUUUGGAGCUGAAAGCUCAGGUUCGAAUCCUGACGGGGCAG
This 71-nucleotide transfer RNA is filed under the name Leucobacter luti. It matches the Rfam family "tRNA". Rfam says of the family: Transfer RNA (tRNA) molecules are approximately 80 nucleotides in length. Their secondary structure includes four short double-helical elements and three loops (D, anti-codon, and T loops). The record is from Rfam by way of RNAcentral. Lineage: Bacteria; Bacillati; Actinomycetota; Actinomycetes; Micrococcales; Microbacteriaceae.